Non-coding RNA from Sesamum indicum (sesame), 1046 nucleotides. Lineage: Eukaryota; Viridiplantae; Streptophyta; Magnoliopsida; Lamiales; Pedaliaceae. The record is from RefSeq and is a predicted model, not a curated record.
GUAAGUUUGAUGAUUGUUUGAUCAUGAGACUAUAGAUUGCGAGUUGUGAGGUAGUUUGUCCCACUAUUUUACUUGAAUUAUCGCCUUGGUUUCAGUUACUUGUCCAUGCUAAGAAAAGCUGCAAGGUAAAAUAUUGCAGUUGACCUUACUAAUCUCUAUGACCAUUUCUUUGUGUUCACCAGUGAAUGUAAAGUAAAGGUAACUGCAACUUGGUUGCCAUACUUUUAUCGAGAUUAUUGGCCUGGUGUUGCAGAGGUGUAUCAACUACAACAAGAAGAAAGGCAUUCUGGCCAUGCAUCAAAGGAUCUACGGUUAACGAACAAACUCAGUGGAACAAUAUUUCGCUUGAAGUUACGCUUCAUCAUGGUGCACAUACAGCAUUGCUGCGGUUGCAUUCUGAUGGUUGCUGGAAAUCCUUGGGUUUGCAAACAAUGCGAAAAUUUUCAGCUGUCUGACAAGGAAUUAAAACAGCUGCUGAACUGAGGAGGGAACAAAACCUAACAGUGCCUGUCAAACUUCACACAGUGAGAACGUGUUAUAGCUCUUUUUCAUUCCUAGUCCAACCUUAAGAAAGAAAAAGCUAGAUUCUUAAAUGAAGAGAGAUUCUAAACAUGAGCAGGGACUAUUUUCAUGUGUCACUUGUGGGAUUUUGUGUUUUCUCUUGUGUUGCUAUUGAAGCAGCUGCUCAUUAUCUAUUGUUAGCCAGUUGCAGCACAUUUAAUUAUUGGGGUGUUGGUGAUGAUGGCCACAAUCACAUCAGAGAUGCAAAGUCUCCCAAGAGAUGCAAAGUCUCCCAACACAAACCUUGGUUAAGGUAUUUUCUCCUCCUUGUACUCAGAAAAUGGUCUAUUGAAAAUUUAUAAUUUUAUAGGCAUUCCCUUUCUCGUAACAUAUUGGCUACUUUUCCUAAACUAAUUCAAAGUUCAUAUUUCUAUGAAAAUUUGCUUGGGCAUAUGCAGUAGUGCUAAAACAAUAGUGUAAGUUUGUGGUGUGAGUAAUUAAAUGACUCUUGUUUUGCAUACAAUAUGGAAAUAGUUAGAAAUGGA